RNAcentral lists this ribosomal RNA (497 nucleotides) under uncultured bacterium. Its description in RNAcentral is "partial 16S ribosomal RNA". It matches the Rfam family "Bacterial small subunit ribosomal RNA", at positions 28 to 507 of the family's 1533-position model. The record is from RNAcentral.
GAUGAACGCUGGCGGCGUGCCUAAUACAUGCAAGUCGAGCGAACAGACGAGGAGCUUGCUCCUCUGACGUUAGCGGCGGACGGGUGAGUAACACGUGGAUAACCUACCUAUAAGACUGGGAUAACUUCGGGAAACCGGAGCUAAUACCGGAUAAUAUAUUGAACCGCAUGGUUCAAUAGUGAAAGACGGUUUUGCUGUCACUUAUAGAUGGAUCCGCGCCGCAUUAGCUAGUUGGUAAGGUAACGGCUUACCAAGGCAACGAUGCGUAGCCGAACUGAGAGGGUGAUCGGCCACACUGGAACUGAGACACGCGCCAGACUCCUACGGGAGGCAGCAGUAGGGAAUCUUCCGCAAUGGGCGAAAGCCUGACGGAGCAACGCCGCGUGAGUGAUGAAGGUCUUCGGAUCGUAAAACUCUGUUAUUAGGGAAGAACAAAUGUGUAAGUAACUAUGCACGUCUUGACGGUACCUAAUCAGAAAGCCACGGCUAACUACGUG